UACGUAGGGUGCAAGCGUUAUCCGGAAUUAUUGGGCGUAAAGAGCUCGUAGGCGGUUUGUCGCGUCUGCUGUGAAAACUGGAGGCUCAACCUCCAGCCUGCAGUGGGUACGGGCAAACUAGAGUGCGGUAGGGGAGAUUGGAAUUCCUGGUGUAGCGGUGGAAUGCGCAGAUAUCAGGAGGAACACCGAUGGCGAAGGCAGCCCCCUGGGCCAACACUGACGCUCAGGCACGAAAGCGUGGGGAGCAAACAGG
This 253-nucleotide ribosomal RNA is filed under the name uncultured bacterium. Its description in RNAcentral is "partial 16S ribosomal RNA". It matches the Rfam family "Bacterial small subunit ribosomal RNA", at positions 524 to 776 of the family's 1533-position model. The record is from RNAcentral.